Molecule: ribosomal RNA, 253 nt
Filed under: uncultured bacterium
Lineage: Bacteria
Description: partial 16S ribosomal RNA
Rfam family: Bacterial small subunit ribosomal RNA
Source: RNAcentral
UACGUAGGGUGCAGGCGUUAAUCGGAAUUACUGGGCGUAAAGCGUGCGCAGGCGGUUUCUUAAGUCAGAUGUGAAAGCCCCGGGCUUAACCUGGGAAUGGCAUUUGGGACUGCAAGGCUGGAGUGCGGCAGAGGAGACUGGAAUUCCUGGUGUAGCAGUGAAAUGCGUAGAUAUCAGGAGGAACACCGAUGGCGAAGGCAGGUCUCUGGGCUGACACUGACGCUCAUGCACGAAAGCGUGGGGAGCAAACAGG